UCAAGUGAAUAAGUGCAUAUGGCGGAUGCCUUGGCGAUUACAGGCGAUGAAGGACGUGGUAGUCUACGAAAAUUUUCGGGGAGCUGGCAAACAAGCUUUGAUCCGGAAGUGUCCGAAUGGGGAAACCCACCCGCAAGGGUAUCUAUCUCUGAAUAUAUAGGAGACAAGAAGCGAACCGAGUGAACUGAAACAUCUAAGUAACUCGAGGAAAAGAAAUCAACCGAGAUUCCGAUAGUAGUGGCGAGCGAAAUCGGAGCAGCCUGUUAUUUUUAGCACACGUGUUAGUAGAACGGAAUGGAAAGUCCGGCCAUAGAGGGUGAUAGCCCCUUAUACGAAAACCCGUGUGUGGAACUAGGGUAACGACAAGUAGGGCGGGACACGUGAAAUCCUGUCUGAAUAUGGGGGGACCAUCCUCCAAGGCUAAAUACUCGUAAUCGACCGAUAGUGAACUAGUACCGUGAGGGAAAGGUAAAAAGAACCCCGGAAGGGGAGUGAAAUAGAUCCUGAAACCGUAUGCAUACAAACAGUGGGAGCCCGCAAGGGUGACUGCGUACCUUUUGUAUAAUGGGUCAGCGACUUACAUUCAGUAGCAAGCUUAACCGAUAGGGGAGGCGCAGCGAAAGCGAGUCCUAAUAGGGCGAUUCAGUUGCUGGGUGUAGACCCGAAACCAAGUGAUCUAUCCAUGGCCAGGAUGAAGGUGCGGUAACACGUACUGGAGGUCCGAACCCACAAAUGUUGAAAAAUUUGGGGAUGAGCUGUGGAUAGGGGUGAAAGGCUAAACAAACUUGGAGAUAGCUGGUUCUCUCCGAAAACUAUUUAGGUAGUACCUCGUAUAUCAUUCUCGGGGGUAGAGCACUGUUAUAGCUAGGGGGGGCAUAAGCCCUUACCAAACUAUUGCAAACUCCGAAUACUGAGAAAUGUAAUUACGGGAGACAGUCCAUGGGUGCUAACGUCCGUGGACAAGAGGGAAACAACCCAGACCGACAGCUAAGGUCCCAAAUGACGUGCUAAGUGGAAAACGAAGUGGGAAGGCAUAGACAGCUAGGAGGUUGGCUUAGAAGCAGCCACCCUUUAAAGAAAGCGUAAUAGCUCACUAGUCGAGUCGUCCUGCGCGGAAGAUGUAACGGGGCUAAGCACGUAACCGAAGCUUCGGGUGUGUAGCAAUACACGCGGUAGGAGAGCGUUCUGUAAGCCUGCGAAGAUGUCUCGUGAGGGAUGUUGGAGGUAUCAGAAGUGCGAAUGCUGACAUGAGUAGCGAUAAAGAGUGUGAAAAGCACUCUCGCCGAAAGCCCAAGGUUUCCUGCACAACGUUCAUCGGUGCAGGGUGAGUCGGCCCCUAAGGCGAGGCAGAAAUGCGUAGUCGAUGGGAAACAGGUUAAUAUUCCUGUACCUCAAUUUAAUGCGAUGUGGGGACGGAGAAGGUUAAGUCAGCCGGGUGUUGGAUGUCCCGGUUCAAGCGUGUAGACAGAUUCUUUAGGCAAAUCCGGAGAGUCAAUGUCAAGGCGUGAUAACGAGUGAGCUUGCUCAUGAAGUGACUGAUACCAUGCUUCCAAGAAAAGCCACUAAGCUUCAGUUAAGUUGAGACCGUACCGCAAACCGACACAGGUGGGCAGGAUGAGAAUUCUAAGGCGCUUGAGAGAACCCAGGAGAAGGAACUCGGCAAACUAGCACCGUAACUUCGGGAGAAGGUGCGCCCCGGUAGGUUGUAGCAAUUUACUUGCGAAGGCCGAUGGGGUUGCAGUGAAAAGGUGGCUGCGACUGUUUAAUAAAAACACAGCACUGUGCAAACACGAAAGUGGACGUAUACGGUGUGACGCCUGCCCGGUGCCGGAAGGUUAAAUGAUGGGGUGCAAGCUCUUGAUUGAAGCCCCGGUAAACGGCGGCCGUAACUAUAACGGUCCUAAGGUAGCGAAAUUCCUUGUCGGGUAAGUUCC
Molecule: ribosomal RNA, 1934 nt
Filed under: freshwater metagenome
Description: bacterial LSU rRNA
Rfam family: Bacterial large subunit ribosomal RNA
Source: RNAcentral